This 284-nucleotide unclassified non-coding RNA is filed under the name uncultured fungus. Its description in RNAcentral is "partial contains small subunit ribosomal RNA, internal transcribed spacer 1, and 5.8S ribosomal RNA". The stretch from base 1 to 73 matches the Rfam family "Eukaryotic small subunit ribosomal RNA", at positions 1759 to 1831 of the family's 1831-position model. The record is from RNAcentral. Lineage: Eukaryota; Fungi.
GCAAACUUGGUCAUUUAGAGGAAGUAAAAGUCGUAACAAGGUAUCCGUAGGUGAACCUGCGGAUGGAUCAUUACUAAAUUGAUUGACGAUUCACUUGAAUCUUCACUACAAUCACCACUACUUAUGUGAACUGUCAGACGCGUCAAGCCUCUCUCUGAUGCUUGAUUGCCGUCUUGUAAUUUUAUCAACAUUAAAUCUAAUAAUCAACUUAAUUUAAGCUUAUAAAAGCAACUAAAACUUUUAGCAACGGAUCUCUAGGCUCUCGCAUCGAUGAAGAACGCAGC